AUUGAACGCUGGCGGCAUGCCUUACACAUGCAAGUCGAACGGCAGCACGGGUGCUUGCACCUGGUGGCGAGUGGCGAACGGGUGAGUAAUACAUCGGAACAUGUCCUGUAGUGGGGGAUAGCCCGGCGAAAGCCGGAUUAAUACCGCAUACGAUCUACGGAUGAAAGCGGGGGACCUUCGGGCCUCGCGCUAUAGGGUUGGCCGAUGGCUGAUUAGCUAGUUGGUGGGGUAAAGGCCUACCAAGGCGACGAUCAGCAGCUGGUCUGAGAGGACGACCAGCCACACUGGGACUGAGACACGGCCCAGACUCCUACGGGAGGCAGCAGUGGGGAAUUUUGGACAAAGGGCGAAAGCCUGAUCCAGCAAUGCCGCGUGUGUGAAGAAGGCCUUCGGGUUGUAAAGCACCUUUGUCCGGAAAGAAAUCCUUGGCCCUAAUACGGUCGGGGGAUGACGGUACCGGAAGAAUAAGCACCGGCUAACUACGUG
Molecule: ribosomal RNA, 486 nt
Filed under: uncultured bacterium
Lineage: Bacteria
Description: partial 16S ribosomal RNA
Rfam family: Bacterial small subunit ribosomal RNA
Source: RNAcentral